GAAAAUAGAAAAAUUUAGCAAAGAAAAAAAAUUUGGCAAAAGAAGCUCAACGAAAGACACAAGGCUAAGUACUGGUUUGGAGGAACAAAACGCCGAACCAGCGAACCCAGGGAUGCAUCUGUCAAUCCCUCAUCCUCUCGAUCCCGUCACGUUUCUAAUCCGCCGCUUAGAAUCGAUUAGAGCUCGCAUAACCAUUCAUCUUUCGACGAUGCUAGUCUCACCGCAGGCGGGCACCGCCGCCAGCAGUGUCGAUUUGUUGACGCCAUCACUUCCGUUGUUGAAAGACGAAGAGAGAGUGGCAGUCAAGAGGCACUAGGUUGUCGAACAACCUGAGCUGGAGAUCGCAACGAUGUCGUUUCGAGGUGUCAUCUUCCUCGAUUAUUCUGCCUCCCUCAGUCGCGCCUGAAGCACAUGAGGAUUGGGUUGUAGUGACCAUUAGUCGCCGAUUGACAUCCAGGAAGAGCACGUCAAGGACGAGAUGAAGAAUCUAAACAGGGGAGCUGUUUCGCGCAUAAGAGGAGGCCAACAGGAUCCAAUUGGUGUCGCUCGUCAUCGGGUAAUUCAUGGAGAUGGUCGAUCAGAACAACGAGAUUAUGGGCUCUACCACUAGGUCCAAUACUAUAUUAGGAUUCUCAGCACCAUCAAUCAGGAGCUCCUCAAGCCUUUGGUUGCUUAAAUCUUUUCAGAUUUUACAACUCUAAUUCAAUAUUGGGUUUUAGCGUUCUAGGGAUUUCUCCUCAUUUCUCUGCUUCAUAUUCGAUAUUUCUUUAAAAUUUUGGAAUUUUCCAUCUGUUCAUCCAAUCAGCAAAGUAUAUUAUACAUAUACUAAAACUCAGCUUGGCUGGAACAGUGAAAUGACGGAAAUGCCCUUUGUUUCUUCUAAUCCCACUUUUUGUUGUUUGCUUGGUACAGUAAAAUUCCAAUUUUACCCUUUUUUGCCACGGGUCGAUCAUCGUUGAAAGGCUACGCUCAGACUUUCUUCUCGACUUUUCCUUCCAUUUCCAUUUCUCUCUCUGCGGUCUUCUCUUUUCUCCUCUCCUCAUCUCUCUAUUCCGUUUACCUUUUCCCUGCCAUCAACCCUCCCUUCCUUUUUCUCUCGCUCACAGCCACCGCAAAACCCCUCAAGCCCUCAUAUCCUCAAACCAACAAAUUUAAUUCCACAAUCUCUCACACUUAAUUUAAACCCUCGAACCAAAAACUCGAUUUCAAGUAUCAAGCAGCCAGGUUUUUGGGUGUUGGAAUUUCGGCGAAUUGUUUCUUGCCAUUAUUACCAAUCUUCAUGGCUUUGUCUCUCAGGUUCGAUGCUCAAAUUUAAGGUUUUUUGUUGGAGAAGUGGUGGACCUUUUAAUUGUGCCUACUGUGUUGGUGGUCGUUGCUAGACCGGCAAGAAAAAGUCUACUGUGCAUAACACCAUGCCUGCAUUUUUGCAGCAAGGACCAAAUCAAGUAGAACUGUUUGGGAACUGCUAAUAUACUGAUUUUGUGGAAUUUUUGUUCUUUGCAAGGUUUUUUUGGCUGAUAUAAUACUUUUGCCAUCACUCUCCAGCUACGUAAAAUCUACUUAACUAAUGGAAAGGACCUAGCGUUUGGCUGUGGUAAAGUUUUGGUUGGUAAGUUCCUAUUAUGACUCAUGUGAAUCUGUUGCAGAGUGGUUUUAGUGUGUGAAUUUCAUCUUUCAAGCAUUAUCUAAAUUGCUUGAGUGCUUGAGUGCUUCAAUGUUUGAAUUUGAUCUUUCAAAUUGUAUUUGCAUCGGUCCAUUAGGAAAUUUUUUAUUCUAAUGUAAUGGAUGGCUUUGGUUAAUAAUGCAUAUCAAGACCUUUGAAUCUAUUGAUUCAGAUGUUUGAACACAGUUGAAGCUCACUAUGUUGUUUUUGCAGUUUGAUUAGCAAUUGUUAAUUAGAGUUGCCUAAUUUUUUUACUAAGAGUUUAGGGCCAAUUAACAAAAGUAUUGAGUGAUAUGUAAGAGUCUAGAAGCAAACCUUUUGGAGAAGUUGAAGUCAUUUAGAGUAAACUAAUAAAAUUUGACUAUCCUGGCUAACAUGUUUUUUUUUUUACUAUUGACAACUUCGCAACCAUAUUUACUGAUUGCAAGAACUGGUUGGAUUUGAAACCCGCAGCAUCGCGCGAGCAAUUUUUGCUAGUAGUUAUCUAAAGUUGGGAAAGUGACCACUUUCGUCACUCGAAUUUGGUGUUGAAUUGAGAAGUAGUACCAAUUUUGAUAUAGGUUUGUAUUUGCAGUGAGUUAUUUUGAAAAGAAUGAAAUCGAUUUGGAAGGUGAAAAAUUCGAAAGAGAUUUCCAUUGUUGUACGAGCUUUCUUCUCCUUCUUUUUCUUCUUCAGCAUAAGAAGCUUGAGUGGAAAAUUUGAAAACAGAUUUGGAAGGUUAACCACUAAUGCAACAGAGAGAGAGCUCGAGCUUCUUCUCCUUAGCUUAAUUAAUGGAAAAAAAUAAAAUAAAAUCGUAGUUGGGAUAAGAUAUUGCAAUAUUCAAAAGGUGAGGUAUGUGUUUGUUAUGUGACUAAAAGUUAAGGUAAUAAAUGUAAUUUACCCUUGAUUUUUCAAUCCGGGCUUGGAAGAAGAGAAAGCAAAUGAAAAAAAGAAAAAGGAAAGGAAUGGUAGAGUGAUGAGGGUGAGUAAACCUGACAUUUGUGUUGUGUUUUUCAUGUUUGUGU
Molecule: long non-coding RNA, 2670 nt
Organism: Malus domestica (apple)
Lineage: Eukaryota; Viridiplantae; Streptophyta; Magnoliopsida; Rosales; Rosaceae
Source: RefSeq, a predicted model, not a curated record